Oncorhynchus tshawytscha (Chinook salmon) is the source of this 1995-nucleotide long non-coding RNA. RefSeq lists it as uncharacterized. NCBI's taxonomy places the organism in Eukaryota, Metazoa, Chordata, Actinopteri, Salmoniformes, Salmonidae. The transcript has 4 exons. The record is from RefSeq and is a predicted model, not a curated record.
AUUUUUUAGCUUUGCCCUGGCCCUUGAUGAUACUGUUAGCGAUCCGUGCCAGUGCUUUGCCUAGCUCCUCGGUCUGGUCCCUGAGCAUGUGUUUGUUGCUCCCAUCAAGGACGAAGGAAAUAGAGCUGAAUCAGACAGACAAACAUCUGUCCCUGAACUCUACACACCAGCUGACAAAGCCUACACAGGUAUAAUUCAAAUAAUGCAUGUCACAACAAGAGGCCCAGCACUUCAAGCCAAGCCUCCCCCUCCUCUCUCCCCACCAGCAAAAUGUACAUCGCAUCUCACGCCCAACCUGGUCUCAGGUAUUCCGAGGAAGGAAGAUGGCCCAUGUGGAAUGAUGACAGCUUCCUGCAGAGUCACAUACAGGUUGAUACAGUUCAGUUGUUGGUGGUAACAUGCAACACAGCACUGCUUGCUUCAGUAAAUCUUCAAAUCUACCAAUUUGAUGACUCGGUUGGAGGCAUUUCAAGCUGCCCUUUUCAAGUUUCCUAAAUUGGUGUAGUUCUGUCCUUGUCUAUUGAUGUUCUGUAUUAUGUCAUGGUUCAUGUUUUGUGGGGACCCCAGGAUGAGUAGCUGCUGCUUUCACAACAGCCAAAGGGGAUCCUAAUAAAAUACCACAUUGCAAAAUAACCUUGUGUGGAGUGAGGAGCCAUAAGUAUGUUGGGUCGUCAUAGUUGUGGCUUGAGAUAUGCUAAAUAGGCAGUCUUAAAUUAACCAACCAAAACGAGGAAGAAGAGAACAGAGAGAACUCCUUCCGAUUCUAGAACACUGGGAAUUAAAAUAACAUUCUGUCUUAUUCAGCAUUCUAUUAUACCACCAGCCCAUGUGACAUCUACAGACAUGGGCUAUAUUUAAUGUUAUAAUAGGAAAAACUAUAGAGAAGAGCAGUUGAGAGGAGAGGAUAGGAGGGAAGAGUGGGGAGGCGGGGAGAGAGGAGGGAAGAGAAGAGAGGAGAGAUAGGAGAGGAAAGGAGGGAGGAGAAGAGAGGAAAAGAGAAGUGUCCCUCCUGUUGCUGCAAACACAGAUAUAGGAUCUUCAUUUGAUCCCCCUGGUACAGGUCAACUUUCCUGCAAUGCAGGAAAAGUAAAACUUGUAGUGUAUUUGAGGUUUAAAAAGGUUUUUGAAGUUCAGAAUUUCCACAAAUUUCAGACUUGAUUUUCAAUUACACUUUUUUUUUAAUCAACCCCAACAGAAAACAUCCAUUAAUUAUAAUCCACAUAAUAAUUGACAUUUCCUGUUAAUGCAGGAUUAUUUUCCUGCUGUAGGACAAUGGUUCAAAGGAAGAUCCUUCAUCAUAUGUGAGUAAGCAGAGUCACAGUUUUCUCUCAUGAUUGAUCUCAACUGAAACUGUUGCCCAACAGAAACUCAAUGUCUCUCUCUCUCAAACCUGGGAUUGUACUUUUGUCCAUCACAUCAGCUGCAAUACCAUAAAUCCCCUAAACCUAACCCUUGUCACAACCCCAACACCGUGAGGGUUAAGAACAGUUUGUGCGUGUUGACAUCCUGUGAGUUUUAUAAAUAGGUUAUAAAGUACAUCUAAAAACCACUUCAACUCUGAGCAGAGGACCGACCUCACAUUAUCUGAUGUACAGUACACAUGUAAUUUAUCAGCCAUUCUUAUCCACUUACAAGAGGAAUUAUGAUAAAAUACAGAUGUGUCACCUAGUCAUCUCAGGGAUUUGAAUCAGCAACCUUCCAGGUACUGGCCCAAUGCUCUUAACUACUAGGACACACACACAACACAACAAUCAGAUCGAUUAUAAUUUCUCUAAUAUAUAAGAAUCCUCUGACUCAGUAUCUCCAUGAUAACUUCAGAUAUACUGUAACAGUUUCUACUGAGACACCUGCUGAAAGACCGAAACACCUGCUGAAAGACCGAAACACCUGCUGAAAGACCGAAACACCUGCUGAAAGACCGAAACACCUGCUGAAAGACUGAAACACCUGCUGAAAGACUGAAACACCUGCUGAAAGACUGAAACACCUGCUGAA